GCCGCCGACGCGAAGCCCCCAGCGCUGACGACGCUGCAGAACGUCCCUGACAGGCUCCUGGAGCCGAUCCUCGUGCGCCUCAUGUCGUCGCCUCUCUGCCUCGUCCGCGCGGCGGCCACCUGCAACUGCAAGCGGUGGCGCCGGAUCAUGGGCCGCUCAUGGUUCUUCUUCACCGAGCUCCACAAAGCUCGUUCACGGGCCCCAUACCCACGCCCCGUCGCAGGAAACUACUACAACCGUGUGUCCCCUCUGGGCGGCCGGGAGACCGUCUUCGUUCCGACGGCGCUGACGGCGCAGCACGGCGUCCAGAGCCGCCGCUUCUCCCUCGACUUCCUCCCCGGUGGCAGCAGAAAAUGGGAGAUCGUGGACAGCGGCGGCAGCCUCGUCCUCCUCGCCAAGAAGAAGAAGAGCGGGUGGAUGCGCCGCUGCUUCCCUGACCUCCUGGUGUGCGAGCCGGCCACGCGGCGCUACCAGCUGAUCCCACGCAUGGAGGAGAUGAAACGUCAUCGCUGCCUCGGCUCGUACCUCGUCGGCACCGAGAGGCGCCAUGAGUUCAAGCCCGAUAUCGGCGUGCAUGUCGUCGACAGCAUGGAAACAUUCAAGGUGGUCUGUGUGGUCUAUCAACAAUACGACGGGGUGUGUGACGAAAUUGGCAGCGCGAGGGCAUGCUUCUUCGCCCGGGACAGCAAGAGCCAGGCGCGGAGGGGGAGACAUGAGACGCACAGCUGGUACGCCGAGCAGAGCCGCAACCUCGGUCAUAACUUCUGCCUCCAUGGCACCGAGUUGUUGCAUUUCCUCGGUCACGCUGGAUACUCCUUGUUCUGGAGCAUCGAAGGCCAGAAGGAGCGCAUGCUGACUUACGGCCCCCGCUGGUUGCCACACGGCUUCAAAGGGACGGCCCUGCGAGUCAUGGACGAUAGUACCCGCCAGAACAUUCGAUUUGUUUGCUUGCAGGGGAACACCCUCCAGAUUUUUGUGAGACCAACGAUCACAUACUUAGGUAAUGCGUGGGUGCUCCACAAGAGCCUCGAGUUGAUGGAGGCAACGCGUGGGCUGGAAGGGUAUAAAGGGGAGUACUUUGAGGACUCUUUGAAGGUUGUUGUCACGAGCCCGAAGUCCGUCGUUCUCGCUCCGGCAAAUGGAACAUGGCUAUUCUCCGUCGACCUUGAUACCAUGGAGGUCGCGAAACGCAACCACAAGACAACCGAUCAUUUGGGCCUGCGAGAUUAUCCGUGCGAGCUGCCCUGGCCACCU
This 1254-nucleotide ribosomal RNA is filed under the name Triticum aestivum (bread wheat). RNAcentral's name for it is "partial small subunit ribosomal RNA". Lineage: Eukaryota; Viridiplantae; Streptophyta; Magnoliopsida; Poales; Poaceae. The record is from RNAcentral.